Molecule: ribosomal RNA, 424 nt
Filed under: uncultured Schlesneria sp.
Lineage: Bacteria; Pseudomonadati; Planctomycetota; Planctomycetia; Planctomycetales; Planctomycetaceae
Description: bacterial SSU rRNA
Rfam family: Bacterial small subunit ribosomal RNA
Source: RNAcentral
UCGAGAAUCUUCGGCAAUGGACGAAAGUCUGACCGAGCGACGCCGCGUGCGGGAUGAAGGUCUUCGGAUUGUAAACCGCUGUCAGAGGGGAUGAAGUAUACGAGAGCUAUCUCUUGUAUUUGACAGAGCCUCAGAGGAAGCACGGGCUAAGUUCGUGCCAGCAGCCGCGGUAAUACGAACUGUGCGAACGUUAUUCGGAAUCACUGGGCUUAAAGGGUGCGUAGGUGGUUUUCUAAGUCACGUGUGAAAUCUUCUGGCUCAACCAGAAAACUGCGCGUGAUACUGGAGGACUUGAGUGAGGUAGGGGUGUGUGGAACUUCCGGUGGAGCGGUGAAAUGUGUAGAGAUCGGAAGGAACGCCAGCAGCGAAAGCGGCACACUGGGCCUUUUCUGACACUGAGGCACGAAAGCUAGGGGAGUGAACG